This 524-nucleotide ribosomal RNA is filed under the name Staphylococcus saprophyticus. Its description in RNAcentral is "bacterial SSU rRNA". It matches the Rfam family "Bacterial small subunit ribosomal RNA", at positions 83 to 594 of the family's 1533-position model. The record is from RNAcentral. Lineage: Bacteria; Bacillati; Bacillota; Bacilli; Caryophanales; Staphylococcaceae.
CCUUUGACGUUAGCGGCGAACGGGUGAGUAACACGUGGGUAACCUACCUAUAAGACUGGGAUAACUUCGGGAAACCGGAGCUAAUACCGGAUAACAUUUGGAACCGCAUGGUUCUAAAGUGAAAGAUGGUUUUGCUAUCACUUAUAGAUGGACCCGCGCCGUAUUAGCUAGUUGGUAAGGUAACGGCUUACCAAGGCAACGAUACGUAGCCGACCUGAGAGGGUGAUCGGCCACACUGGAACUGAGACACGGUCCAGACUCCUACGGGAGGCAGCAGUAGGGAAUCUUCCGCAAUGGGCGAAAGCCUGACGGAGCAACGCCGCGUGAGUGAUGAAGGGUUUCGGCUCGUAAAACUCUGUUAUUAGGGAAGAACAAACGUGUAAGUAACUGUGCACGUCUUGACGGUACCUAAUCAGAAAGCCACGGCUAACUACGUGCCAGCAGCCGCGGUAAUACGUAGGUGGCAAGCGUUAUCCGGAAUUAUUGGGCGUAAAGCGCGCGUAGGCGGUUUCUUAAGUCUGAUG